Molecule: ribosomal RNA, 301 nt
Filed under: uncultured bacterium
Lineage: Bacteria
Description: partial 16S ribosomal RNA
Rfam family: Bacterial small subunit ribosomal RNA
Source: RNAcentral
CAGCAGCCGCGGUAAUACGAAGGGUGCAAGCGUUAAUCGGAAUUACUGGGCGUAAAGCGUGCGUAGGCGGUGAGUUAAGUCUGCUGUGAAAUCCCCGGGCUCAACCUGGGAAUGGCAGUGGAUACUGGCUCGCUAGAGUGUGUCAGAGGAUGGUGGAAUUCCCGGUGUAGCGGUGAAAUGCAUAGGGAUCGGGAGGAACAUCAGUGGCGAAGGCGGCCAUCUGGGACAACACUGACGCUGAGGCACGAAAGCGUGGGGAGCAAACAGGAUUAGAUACCCGCGUAGUCCCUGUCUCUUAUAC